AGCAGUACCGCGGUAAUACGAAGGGUGCAAGCGUUAAUCGGAAUUACUGGGCGUAAAGCGUGAGUAGGCGGUGAGUUAAGUCUGCUGUGAAAUCCCCGGGCUCAACCUGGGAAUGGCAGUGGAUACUGGCUCGCUAGAGUGUGUCAGAGGAUGGUGGAAUUCCCGGUGUAGCGGUGAAAUGCGUAGAGAUCGGGAGGAACAUCAGUGGCGAAGGCGGCCAUCUGGGACAACACUGACGCUGAGGCACGAAAGCGUGGGGAGCAAACAGGAUUAGAUACCCCGGUAGUCCCUGUCUCUUAUACA
RNAcentral lists this ribosomal RNA (303 nucleotides) under uncultured bacterium. Its description in RNAcentral is "partial 16S ribosomal RNA". It matches the Rfam family "Bacterial small subunit ribosomal RNA", at positions 510 to 808 of the family's 1533-position model. The record is from RNAcentral.